Molecule: ribosomal RNA, 497 nt
Filed under: uncultured bacterium
Lineage: Bacteria
Description: partial 16S ribosomal RNA
Rfam family: Bacterial small subunit ribosomal RNA
Source: RNAcentral
GAUGAACGCUGGCGGCGUGCCUAAUACAUGCAAGUCGAGCGAACAGACGAGAAGCUUGCUUCUCUGAUGUUAGCGGCGGACGGGUGAGUAACACGUGGAUAACCUACCUAUAAGACUGGGAUAACUUCGGGAAACCGGAGCUAAUACCGGAUGAUAUUUUGAACCGCAUGGUUCAAUAGUGAAAGACGGUCUUGCUGUCACUUAUAGAUGGAUCCGCGCUGCAUUAGCUAGUUGGUAAGGUAACGGCUUACCAAGGCAACGAUGCAUAGCCGACCUGAGAGGGUGAUCGGCCACACUGGAACUGAGACACGGUCCAGACUCCUACGGGAGGCAGCAGUAGGGAAUCUUCCGCAAUGGGCGAAAGCCUGACGGAGCAACGCCGCGUGAGUGAUGAAGGUCUUCGGAUCGUAAAACUCUGUUAUUAGGGAAGAACAAAUGUGUAAGUAACUGUGCACAUCUUGACGGUACCUAAUCAGAAAGCCACGGCUAACUACGUG